RNAcentral lists this ribosomal RNA (303 nucleotides) under Triticum aestivum (bread wheat). Its description in RNAcentral is "partial small subunit ribosomal RNA". The record is from RNAcentral. Lineage: Eukaryota; Viridiplantae; Streptophyta; Magnoliopsida; Poales; Poaceae.
AUGUUUGGUGUCCUUGGCAUGGAAAACAUGCACACCAUUUUUCCAAGUGAUCCAGCUACACCCUGGGUCUUUCUUGAUUCCGACAUCUUUCAUCUCCUUCCUCACAUAAGUUGCUUCUGCCCACCUGGACAACUGAUGCAAGCAUGUUUGAGAGCAGCACGUGAUUGCCAGAGUCCUGAGGGUCAAGUUCAAACAACUUCUCAGCUGCAAUCCUUCCCAGCUCUGUCUUCCCAUGCAUCUUGCAUGCCCCAAGUAGUGCUCCCCAGAGAGAAAUGGAAGGUCUCAUUGGCAUCCUCUGUAUAA